RNAcentral lists this ribosomal RNA (445 nucleotides) under uncultured bacterium. RNAcentral's name for it is "partial 16S ribosomal RNA". It matches the Rfam family "Bacterial small subunit ribosomal RNA", at positions 354 to 796 of the family's 1533-position model. The record is from RNAcentral.
GUAAGGAAUAUUGGACAAUGGACGCAAGUCUGAUCCAGCCAUGCCGCGUGAAGGAUUAAGGUCCUCUGGAUUGUAAACUUCUUUUAUAAGGGACGAAAAAAGGCUUUUCUAAGUCGUCUGACGGUACCUUAUGAAUAAGCACCGGCUAACUCCGUGCAAGCAGCCGCGGUAAUACGGAGGGUGCAAGCGUUAUCCGGAUUCACUGGGUUUAAAGGGUGCGUAGGCGGGCAGGUAAGUCAGUGGUGAAAUCCUAGAGCUUAAUUCUAGAACUGCCAUUGAUACUAUCUGUCUUGAAUAUUGUGGAGGUAAGCGGAAUAUGUCAUGUAGCGGUGAAAUGCUUAGAUAUGACAUAGAACACCUAUGGCGAAGGCAGCUUACUACGCAUAUAUUGACGCUGAGGCACGAAAGCGUGGGGAUCAAACAGGAUUAGAAACCCUUGUAGUCC